UUUGUUUAUUUUUCGUUUAUAAUCUUUAUUUUGUAGAAAUUGAAAAAUAAUUUAAUAAUAUAUUUUAAAAUUUAGUGUUCCUAUAAUUAAUGAAGAUGUUUAUGUUCAAGAUUUCAGUAAGAGUUAUAUACAAGGAAAGAGUGCUCCUGUAAACAUCAAUGUUCAGCAAAGUUCAACCAAUAGUUCUUUAAAGUCAGAAAUGAGUUUUACUGAAAAAUCUGAAAUUGAUAUUGAAAUACUUCU
Non-coding RNA from Hydra vulgaris (swiftwater hydra), 243 nucleotides. Lineage: Eukaryota; Metazoa; Cnidaria; Hydrozoa; Anthoathecata; Hydridae. The record is from RefSeq and is a predicted model, not a curated record.